ACAAAGUUUCUUUAUAGAUUAGUGUUAAAAAUUAGUGUGGUGAUACAAUAAAGUUACACAGACAGCAAACAAAUGUGGUUGUAAAUCUUGUAGAUUUCUGUCCUAUCAAUGUCAUUUGGAGGGAUCGGGGCCUUCCAAUGUUUUGACAGGUAACGGAGGAUUAGAGUUCGGUUCCGGAGAGGGAGCCUGAGAAAUGGCUACUACUUCCACGGAGGGCAGCAGGCGCGAAAAUUACCCAAUAUCGAGGCGAUGAGGUAGUGACCAGAUGUACCUAUAUAGACACAACCGUGUCUAUUAAUUGGAAUGAGCGUAGUUUAGACUCCUAUGUGAUUAGCAAUUGGGGGGCAAGUACUGGUGCCAGCAGCCGCGGUAAAUCCAGCUCCAAUGGUGUAUACUAAAGUUGUUGCGGUUAAAACGUUCGUAGUUUAUCUGUGAAAAAUGUCGUAUUUCAGUACUGGAUUUAUUUCUUAUCGAUAUAUUCCUACAAGAGUAUAUAUCAAAAUUACUGUGAAAAAAUUUUUGUGUUCAAGGCAGGCUAUUGUUUAGGAAAUAGUAGCACAGGAUAUGAACUGAGUUCUAAAAAUUGUAUCAAAUUUACAGGUUGGAAAUGUGACAGGGACAGACGGGGGCAUUCGUACUUCAUUGUCAGAGGUAAAAUUCUAGGAUUUUUGUAUGACGAACGAAAGCGAAGGCAUUUGCCAGGAAUGUUCUCCUUGAUUAAGGACGACUGUUGGGUGCUCAAAGACGAUUAGAUACCGUUGUAGUCUCAACGCCAAACGAUGCCAACCAGGAAUAGGCGAGUGUUACAUUUUGUUGAAUCUUGUCUGAACUUUUAGAGAAAUCAGAGUUUUUGGGUUCCGGGGGGAAUACGGUUGCAAGGCUGAAACUUGAAGGAAUUGACGUAAGGGCACCACCAGGCGCGGAGCCUGCGGCUUAAUUUGACUCAACCCGGGAAAACUUACCAGGUCCGAACAUUGCAAGGAAAGACAGAUUAAAUUUCUUUCUUAAUUUUAUGGAUAGUGGUGCAUGGCCGCUCUUAGUUCGUGGGUUGACUUGUUAGGUUGACUCCAGUAACGAACGAGAUCUUUAUUUGUUAAUUAGCCGUAAAACGUUGUAGGUUUUAUAGUAUCUAGUGUGCUUGGUUUCUUAAAGAGACGAUUUUCAGAAAAGGAGGAAAUGGAAGUUAGAGGCAAUAGCAGGUCUGUGAUGCCCUUAGACGUUCUGGGCUGCUCGCGCGCUACAAUGAUGGAUCCAACUAGUUUGCCUACUUAGAUAUAGGAGGGAAAGCAACA
Molecule: ribosomal RNA, 1292 nt
Filed under: marine metagenome
Description: SSU rRNA
Rfam family: Eukaryotic small subunit ribosomal RNA
Source: RNAcentral